GCUACCAUGCAGUCGAGCGCGAAAGGCCUUCGGGCUGAGUAGAGCGGCGGACGGGUGAGUAACGCGUAGGAAUCUACCUGGUAGUGGGGGACAACAUGGUGAAAACCAUGCUAAUACCGCAUACGCCCUAUGGGGGAAAGCGGGGGACCUUCGGGCCUCGCGCUAUCAGAUGAGCCUGCGUGGGAUUAGCUUGUUGGUGAGGUAAAGGCUCACCAAGGCGACGAUCCUUAGCUGGUCUGAGAGGAUGAUCAGCCACACUGGAACUGAGACACGGUCCAGACUCCUACGGGAGGCAGCAGUGGGGAAUAUUGCGCAAUGGGCGAAAGCCUGACGCAGCCAUGCCGCGUGUGUGAAGAAGGCCUUCGGGUUGUAAAGCACUUUCAAUUGGGAAGAAAGGUUGCGUGUUAAUAGCACGUAGCUGUGACGUUACCUUUAGAAGAAGCACCGGCUAACUCCGUGCCAGCAGCCGCGGUAAUACGGAGGGUGCGAGCGUUAAUCGGAAUUACUGGGCGUAAAGCGCGCGUAGGCGGUUUGUUAAGUCGGAUGUGAAAUCCCCGGGCUCAACCUGGGAAUGGCAUUCGAUACUGGCCGACUAGAGUACGAGAGAGGGAGGUAGAAUUCCACGUGUAGCGGUGAAAUGCGUAGAUAUGUGGAGGAAUACCGGUGGCGAAGGCGGCCUCCUGGCUCGAUACUGACGCUGAGGUGCGAAAGCGUGGGUAGCA
Molecule: ribosomal RNA, 722 nt
Filed under: uncultured bacterium
Lineage: Bacteria
Description: bacterial SSU rRNA
Rfam family: Bacterial small subunit ribosomal RNA
Source: RNAcentral